Molecule: transfer RNA, 73 nt
Filed under: Haloechinothrix alba
Lineage: Bacteria; Bacillati; Actinomycetota; Actinomycetes; Pseudonocardiales; Pseudonocardiaceae
Description: Pseudonocardineae bacterium YIM 93221 tRNA
Rfam family: tRNA
About the family: Transfer RNA (tRNA) molecules are approximately 80 nucleotides in length. Their secondary structure includes four short double-helical elements and three loops (D, anti-codon, and T loops). Further hydrogen bonds mediate the characteristic L-shaped molecular structure. tRNAs have two regions of fundamental functional importance: the anti-codon, which is responsible for specific mRNA codon recognition, and the 3' end, to which the tRNAs corresponding amino acid is attached (by aminoacyl-tRNA synthetases). tRNAs cope with the degeneracy of the genetic code in two manners: having more than one tRNA (with a specific anti-codon) for a particular amino acid; and 'wobble' base-pairing, i.e. permitting non-standard base-pairing at the 3rd anti-codon position.
Source: Rfam by way of RNAcentral
GCCGGCAUAGCUCAGCAGGCAGAGCAACGGUCUUGUAAACCGUAGGUCAGGGGUUCGAAUCCCCUUGCCGGCU